Non-coding RNA from Odocoileus virginianus texanus, 408 nucleotides. NCBI's taxonomy places the organism in Eukaryota, Metazoa, Chordata, Mammalia, Artiodactyla, Cervidae. The record is from RefSeq and is a predicted model, not a curated record.
GCCCCCGAAGUCACCCCAAACAUCUAACAUAUAUUUCGUACGGUCAAAUGACUUUCUAGCACGUAAAAUGUAAACAAGACAUCUUGAGAAAAUGUGUUUUCAUCUGCAGCCUAGAAGGGAUGAUGACAAGCGUGUUGACCCCUUUACUUGCAAUUCACAUCCAGGAAUUUAACUGAUAUGUAUUCACAAAGAUGCCAGACCAUUCUAACACUGAAAAGUUAACAAGAAAGAAUAUAAUAAACCUCCGUGUAACCAACACCCAGCUUCCUGUUAUCUACCCUCAAAAGGUUCCUUCUUAAAAAUAGUACAUCAUGUUUUAUGUCCCUGGAUAUGUUCCAGUGUAUCCUGGUUUACAGUCUAUGGGAACUUGAAUACUGUAUAAAAUCUCAAUUAUGUGGAACUGGUUCA